RNAcentral lists this ribosomal RNA (484 nucleotides) under uncultured bacterium. RNAcentral's name for it is "partial 16S ribosomal RNA". It matches the Rfam family "Bacterial small subunit ribosomal RNA", at positions 30 to 507 of the family's 1533-position model. The record is from RNAcentral.
AUUGAACGCUGGCGGAAUGCUUUACACAUGCAAGUCGAACGGCAGCACGGGGGCAACCCUGGUGGCGAGUGGCGAACGGGUGAGUAAUACAUCGGAACGUGCCCGGUCGUGGGGGAUAACGUAGCGAAAGUUACGCUAAUACCGCAUACGAUCUGAGGAUGAAAGCGGGGGACCUUCGGGCCUCGCGCGAUCGGAGCGGCCGAUGUCCGAUUAGGUAGUUGGUGGGGUAAAGGCCUACCAAGCCGACGAUCUGUAGCUGGUCUGAGAGGACGACCAGCCACACUGGGACUGAGACACGGCCCAGACUCCUACGGGAGGCAGCAGUGGGGAAUUUUGGACAAUGGGCGCAAGCCUGAUCCAGCCAUUCCGCGUGCAGGACGAAGGCCUUCGGGUUGUAAACUGCUUUUGUAUGGAACGAAAAGGAUCUGGCUAAUACCUGGGGCUCAUGACGGUACCGUAAGAAUAAGCACCGGCUAACUACGUG